AGUGAACGCUGGCGGUAGGCCUAACACAUGCAAGUCGAACGGCAGCACAGUAAGAGCUUGCUCUUACGGGUGGCGAGUGGCGGACGGGUGAGGAAUACAUCGGAAUCUACUUUUUCGUGGGGGAUAACGUAGGGAGACUUACGCUAAUACCGCAUACGACCUACGGGUGAAAGCAGGGGGUCUUCGGACCUUGCGCGAUUGAAUGAGCCGAUGUCGGAUUAGCUAGUUGGCGGGGUAAAGGCCCACCAAGGCGACGAUCCGUAGCUGGUCUGAGAGGAUGAUCAGCCACACUGGAGCUGAGACACGGUCCAGACUCCUACGGGAGGCAGCAGUGGGGAAUAUUGGACAAUGGGCGCAAGCCUGAUCCAGCCAUACCGCGUGGGUGAAGAAGGCCUUCGGGUUGUAAAGCCCUUUUGUUGGGAAAGAAAAGCAGCAGGUUAAUACCCCGCUGUUCUGACGGUACCCAAAGAAUAAGCACCGGCUAACUUCGUG
This 492-nucleotide ribosomal RNA is filed under the name uncultured bacterium. RNAcentral's name for it is "partial 16S ribosomal RNA". It matches the Rfam family "Bacterial small subunit ribosomal RNA", at positions 29 to 507 of the family's 1533-position model. The record is from RNAcentral.